GACUCCUCUCUGCCUACACUUCCCAGAAUUCUCCUAAUCUCCUAGCCCCACCUGUCUUUCUGCCUGGCCAAUAAGUGUUUUAUUCAUCAACCAAUAAGAGAAACCUAUACAGAAUCCCAUUAUUGGAUCAAGAUUGAAGAGUCUCACUGGGAUCAUUGAGGACUUGAAAAAUGGGCUCCCACAGCAAGAAAGAGAGGCUGUGCAUAGUAAUUAACACAGGUGGCUGUAGCAACAUGCUCUGCUACCAUUGAUGAGCCCUGAAGUUGGCCCACUGCUGCAGUAACACGUGAUGUAGACAGUCUCAGAGUUUCAUAAAUUUGGGUGGGUGGGUAACAUGUUUUAAAUUGUAUUUUUCUGCAGGGGACUGAUGUCAAACAUCCAUUUAUCCAUUGUUGGCCAUUUAGAUAUCUUUUACAAAAUGUCUCUUCCAAUAUUUCAUGGAUUUAUAAUAUUAGAUUAUCUUUUCUCAUUAUUUUACUUUUUGGAUGACUAAUGAUCAAUGUAGUGGCUGGUAAUUAUCAAGUAUUGAGUAAAACAAAUGUAGUAAACAAAGCCAGCUUUAUUUGCAAAUGUUUCUUUGUUACUGGUCACGUGAAAUAAAUUAUGGAAGCAA
Long non-coding RNA from Mesocricetus auratus (golden hamster), 613 nucleotides. RefSeq lists it as uncharacterized. The record is from RefSeq and is a predicted model, not a curated record. NCBI's taxonomy places the organism in Eukaryota, Metazoa, Chordata, Mammalia, Rodentia, Cricetidae. The transcript is spliced from 2 exons.